UACGGAGGGUGCAAACGUUGCUCGGAAUCAUUGGGCGUAAAGCGCACGUAGGCGGCCCAGCAAGUCGGGUGUGAAAGCCCUCGGCUUAACCGAGGAAGUGCAUUCGAAACUACUGAGCUUGAAUACUGGAGAGGAUCGCGGAAUUCCCGGUGUAGAGGUGAAAUGCGCAGAUAUCAGGAGGAACACCGGUGGCGAAGGCGGGACUCUGGGCCGAUACUGACGCUGAGGAGCGAAAGCGUGGGGAGCAAACAGG
RNAcentral lists this ribosomal RNA (253 nucleotides) under uncultured bacterium. Its description in RNAcentral is "partial 16S ribosomal RNA". It matches the Rfam family "Bacterial small subunit ribosomal RNA", at positions 524 to 776 of the family's 1533-position model. The record is from RNAcentral.